GGUGAGCGCUAUUAAUCGGCUAUAAAACUAAAUUUUCUUGUACCUGAGAUAUCCCUUCGAAAUCACUGAUAGUAAUUUGGGUAAUGUACGGAAGUGUAGUGGGUUAUGCGGAAAACUCAAAUGAGCAAGUGGUGAAAGAUGGAAAUAUAUACCGUCUACAUUUUGCCACCGGAGAAACUGUUUAACCAAGUUCUCGAAUUAAAUUAUUCUGCUCAUUGCGGCAAAAGGUGCCUAAACGACGUUCUCUGGAGCAUCAUUAAAGCAAGUAAAAAAAAAAAAACUAAUGCUCAUCCAGACCGUACAAUAAACAGAGUAUCGAGACUGCAAACAUCGUACGUCAUGCAAGAGUUAUUUCAGCAAUUACGCCAAGUGAUGGACGUGGUGUUGGGCUGCGUUCCCAGAACCGGGCUUCGCUGGAUUCUAAGGUAAGUGAUGGUUCCAGCAGAAUUAAUUGAAAUUGUUUACUGGCUGCAAUGAAAACAGAUACCAUAUGCUGUUGAAAUCUCAUUAGCAGCGAUGCGAUUACAAUAUUGGUUAAUAAAACGUUAAAAGCGUCGGGUCAUUACAAUGGUGGUAAUUACCAGAUAUAAUCUGAAGCAAAAUCUCGGCGUUUAUAACUGAAAUUGUCAUAUUGUUACAACUUUCGUUCAAGGGAAAUUCCUAUUAGAGGUUUGGUGAAAUUUUAGUGGCUAUGUAAAUGCUCAUUAGCUGAAAUGUCAGGGACUAGGUAACAUUUAUAUUGUAAAGGUGUGCCUGGUGUUUUAAGUGUACAUAUAUCUUCGUAUUCAGCAGUUGAUUUGAUAAUCAUAUUCUUUUGCGAUGUUCUGAUAUGAAAGUCGUAUCGAAGGAAUGAACGGGAAAUGUUUUUGGAUACAUUGUCUUCGUUAAGAAGGUUAAUCGAUUGCUAGCGUGUCAAUACUUUUGAUACUUUAAGAAAGCAGGACUUGACUGUUAGAUUUAUAAGCCAUAGAAAUAUCGAAGAGGCACAUUUCAACACCCGUUUGUUAAAUGUUGCCCUCGUGAUGAAGGUGGAAAUUCCAUUGCCAGUGGUCACAGUAGUAAACUGCAUAACUUUUUCGUGUUUUUUUUUUUCAUAGGCUUCUGAUUGGAUGGAGUGAUGCUAGAAGACAGAAAGUUGGCAGAAACUGCAGGUGUGAAGCUGUGUUAAGAGACUGAAUGUGAACCAGAAUCCUAUGUAGAUUUUUCUAGUAGUUUAUGUUGUGGGAAUUUUGUGCAUGAGGUUUUUUUCAGUGAUUCAGCAGAUAAUGCUUGAAUGAGGCAAUGGCUGUCCUUUUACUUUUUCAUAGAAGGCA
This is a long non-coding RNA of Macrobrachium nipponense, 1313 nucleotides long. RefSeq lists it as uncharacterized. The transcript has 3 exons. Lineage: Eukaryota; Metazoa; Arthropoda; Malacostraca; Decapoda; Palaemonidae. The record is from RefSeq and is a predicted model, not a curated record.